CAAUAGCGUAUAUUAAAGUUGUUGCAGUUAAAAAGCUCGUAGUUGGAUUUCUGGUUUGAUGCCCUGGCCCGCUGCUAUUUUAGUAGUGUGUGCCGGUUGUGCGUCUGCCAUCCUUCUAGGGAACGUUCCUUCUCUUCACUGAGCCGGGUUCGUGAUCUAGAUCGUUUACUUUGAGGAAAUUAGAGUGUUUCAAGCAGGCAUACGCCUUGAAUACAUUAGCAUGGAAUAAUAAGAUAGGACCUCGGUUCUAUUUUGUUGGUUUCUAGAGCUGAGGUAAUGAUUAAUAGGGAUAGUUGGGGCAUUCGUAUUUAACUGUCAGAGGUGAAAUUCUUGGAUUCGGUCAAGACUAACUUAUGCGAAAGCAUUCACCAAGGAUGUCUU
RNAcentral lists this ribosomal RNA (381 nucleotides) under uncultured eukaryote. RNAcentral describes it as "bacterial SSU rRNA". It matches the Rfam family "Eukaryotic small subunit ribosomal RNA", at positions 592 to 970 of the family's 1831-position model. The record is from RNAcentral.